Molecule: long non-coding RNA, 974 nt
Filed under: Gallus gallus (chicken)
Lineage: Eukaryota; Metazoa; Chordata; Aves; Galliformes; Phasianidae
Source: RNAcentral
GGUGGGGAGGGCCGGGCUCCGCACUUCCUCUUCCCCCAGGAAGAGCCCGGCCCUCCGCUGCCCGCAGGAACACCCCGGCGCUUCGGGGGCGGCACUCCAGCAGCCGAACCCGCCCCAUAAACCUCCCCAGCACUGGAAACCCUUCCAUAAGGUGUCCCCCGCCCCAAUAGGCUGCAGCCCCCAGGACCAACACAUUCCCCCCGCGGCUACAGAAUGGGACGAGGCAGGCACAAGCUUGGGCUUAGGAAGGGGUUGGCGUACCCCCGCUUUAUUAAUGGGAUUUGGGGGGGCACAUGGCGUGGCCUCCCCACCAUCACCGGUACAGGUAAUCAGCCUGGAUGUUGGCUGCAAUCUCAGCCUCCCACUUGUCGCCGUUGUUGAGCAGCUUCUCCUUGUUGUACAGCAACUCCUCGUGCGUCUCCGUCGAGAACUCAAAGUUGGGACCCUCCACGAUGGCAUCCACAGGGCAGGCCUCCUGGCAGAAGCCACAGUAGAUGCACUUGGUCAUGUCGAUGUCGUAGCGCGUGGUGCGGCGGCUGCCGUCCGCCCUGGGCUCGGCCUCAAUGGUGAUGGCCUGUGCGGGGCAGAUGGCCUCACAGAGCUUGCAGGCGAUGCAGCGUUCCUCGCCCGACGGGUAGCGGCGCAGUGCGUGCUCCCCACGGAAGCGUGGGCUCAGCGGUCCCUUCUCAAAGGGAUAAUUGAUGGUGGCCGGCUCCCGGAACAGGUAGCUGAGUGUCAUGGCCAGCCCUCGGAAGAGCUCUGUCCACAGCAGGGUCUGUGCAGCUCGGUCGGUGAUGGACUUCAUGUCCAUAGCUGGCUCCUGGAUGUUGACAUACUUGUAGCACUCUCGGGGGGUGGUGGUGCUGAGUGCCCGCAGGUAGCACACGGGGGGAACUGGCGGACCUGCCCGGGCGGCCCGGUACAACAGGCGUAGCGCUGCCAUGUGCUGUCCUCCCCCAAGGACCCGGCCGUCC